UACGAGUGCCUCAAGCGUUAUCCGGAAUCACUGGGCGUAAAGGGUCUGUAGGCGGCUAUGUUAGUCUCUUGUUAAAGUUUCUCUGCUCAACGGAGAAAUUGCGGGAGAAACGGCAUAGCUUGAGAGUGUCAGGGGCGUACGGAACUCACGGUGUAGGGGUGAAAUCCGUUGAUAUCGUGGGGAACACCAAAAGCGAAGGCAGUACGCUGGGACAUUUCUGACGCUGAGAGACGAAACCCUGGGUAGCGAAUGGG
RNAcentral lists this unclassified non-coding RNA (254 nucleotides) under uncultured Parcubacteria group bacterium. Its description in RNAcentral is "contains 16S-23S intergenic spacer region". It matches the Rfam family "Bacterial small subunit ribosomal RNA", at positions 524 to 776 of the family's 1533-position model. The record is from RNAcentral.